RNAcentral lists this unclassified non-coding RNA (562 nucleotides) under Leishmania donovani. RNAcentral's name for it is "gene:unknown". Lineage: Eukaryota; Euglenozoa; Kinetoplastea; Trypanosomatida; Trypanosomatidae. The record is from RNAcentral.
UCUCUCCUUCUUGUGUCGAAUACACCUGAGGCAGAGGACAGACAAGCAUCAUUGGCGCCAACUUCCUCUCUCUCCUAUAUUGGCACUGUGUGUGUGUGUGUGUGUCUGGGCGGGUGUGGCACUGCUUCUCCUCCUCUAUCUCUUGUUGUAUCAAUACUUUGUUUACGGUUUCUUUUUGUUUUUGUUUGUUGCUUCCACCACCGCCACCACCGGCACCACCACCAUCAUCGCCACCGACACCGCCACCACCACCACCGCCACCACCGGCACCACCACCAUCAUCGCCACCGCCACCGCCAUCACAAGCAAAGAUACAUAAGGAUGAUAGUUGCGCAAAACGCAAGGGCAGAAACACAAUACUACUUCGUCUAGCGUUGCUGCACAGCUUCGUGCUGUUUCUUUCUCGUAUACCUCUCUCGCGAUCUCGCUCCCCUUCUUUCACGGCUCUCCUCCACUGUACCCCUGUGCGUGGACCGUCUCUUCUUGAUCAUCUUCUCCCCUCCCACUUCCACACCCACCCCACCCCUCCAUACACACGCACACGCACACUUUUCUACCUAAG